Equus caballus (horse) is the source of this 468-nucleotide long non-coding RNA. RefSeq lists it as uncharacterized. The record is from RefSeq and is a predicted model, not a curated record. NCBI's taxonomy places the organism in Eukaryota, Metazoa, Chordata, Mammalia, Perissodactyla, Equidae.
UUAAAGAGAUGAGACAAGUAAAACCCUGAACGUACAGCCUAGGAAUUAGUAAGCAUUCAACAGGGCAAAGGGAUGCUCUUAUUGGACCCGCCUAAAUCCUGUGCAUCUCCCUGGAGCUGGAAGAGAGAGACACCAGUCCUUAACCCUGUGGACCGAGAGUGAGAGAGAUGUUGUUUCUAAAUGAUGCCUCAGGUGUUGUUAUCAGAAGAAGGGGAAGCGAUUCUGGCCUUAAUGACAGAUGUCCAUCACAAAAGAUCGGGGUUCCGUACAGACAGUGGUGGUUCUUCCUAUGAACAGCUGCGCCAGAGGUGAGCUCGUUCUGGAGGAGCUGGAGUCUUCAAGGUUGGAGCAUCUCCUGUUAGUCUCAGAACAUGUGUGACGAAUGGAUUCUUUAAUCUGACAGCCACUUGGGAGAAAAAAAUACUUGAUCAAAGAUCAAAUAAAUGAAUGUUAUCAAUUUUUGAGGUU